Long non-coding RNA from Coturnix japonica (Japanese quail), 966 nucleotides. RefSeq lists it as uncharacterized. Lineage: Eukaryota; Metazoa; Chordata; Aves; Galliformes; Phasianidae. The record is from RefSeq and is a predicted model, not a curated record.
CUUUGGGCUCAUGUCAACAUGCAAACUGUCUUCACGCAAAAAUCAGUGUGUUGGAGCCAGUACAAGUGGCUGUAGAUUUCUCAACUUUAUCACCUAUUUCAGGAAGAACUGUCUUGCUCUUUAUGAUUUGCUGUUGGAUGACGCUCUAAGAACUGAAGAAGAGUAAUCAGACAUAAACCUCAACCCUUUGGAGGCUCUUGGCUGCCCAUCAGCACUGCAAAUUACGGGUACUCUACUUUGGGUACCCAAACUGAAAGAUAUUGGGAGCACCUCUGAGGAUGGGCAUCCUCAUUUACCAUGAGCUGGAGCAUUCCCCCGCUGAGGUGGGUCUCUAGGCUGGCACAUGCCCAGAGAAACAAGUCACCAUGAAGCAACACAAGCAGAGGCGAUGUGUGGUUUUUGGACUCUGCAAACAAAAACAUACCAUGAAGCCAGCAUCCACAGAAGAGAAAAUGAUCGCAACAUCGGGAUUUCCCAUAGGAUGGAAACUCUGGUCCAUCCAUAUUAUCCCAUGAAGGACUCUUCUUCAUGACUAGGAAGUGUGGACUUGUUCCAAGUGCAGUACAGGCUCCAAGAGUCCCAAACCACCAGAAGCUCCCAAAGCCCCAAGAGCCCACAAUCAAAGUAAAAAGGAGAGGGCAACAGAUGGAUGGAGACAGAUGGAGAACCACAAAGAAACCAGGAGACACAACAGGUCAGCCUGAUAACAACCAUUUGAGUGGUUUCCUCUUCAGCUCACACUCAGAUCUUACAGACCUGUCUUCCUUAUGCUGUUCUUAACACUUUCAUGUCUUAAAAGGACUGUGCACUUUAUGUCUUGGUUGUACAACAGUUCUUGAUAGGAAUUUAAUUCAUAUUUACCUUCAUCCUGUGAGCUCAGAGGCUGUUGCUAAGUAAGAGAUACCUAUUGUUGUGUGUAAAUGCCCCCCUCACAUGGCUUUUCUAUGGGAUAGAAGAGAUUAAGUC